GUGCCAGCAGCCGCGGUAAUACGGAGGGUGCAAGCGUUGUCCGGAUUUAUUGGGUUUAAAGGGUGCGUAGGCGGCCUUUUAAGUCAGCGGUGAAAGCCCGGGGCUCAACCCCGGAACUGCCGUUGAUACUGGAAGGCUUGAGUACAGACGAGGUAGGCGGAAUUGAAGAUGUAGCGGUGAAAUGCUUAGAUAUCUUCAAGAACACCGAUUGCGUAGGCAGCUUACUAGGCUGUAACUGACGCUGAGGCACGAAAGCGUGGGGAGCGAACAGGAUUAGAAACCUGGUAGUCC
Molecule: ribosomal RNA, 291 nt
Filed under: uncultured bacterium
Lineage: Bacteria
Description: partial 16S ribosomal RNA
Rfam family: Bacterial small subunit ribosomal RNA
Source: RNAcentral